CCCUACUUCAUACCUCUUUAUUUAGGUUCAAGGUCUUAGUCUGUAUAGUCGCCACCAAUUAAUCUCUACUACUGAAGUCAAAAAGAUUAAAUCACUUUUACCUUGUAAUAAUAGUCUUUCACAAAUAUCCAAUAUUUGCUGCUUUUUAUUUUGCUGUUGGGACACCAUGAUAAGAAAAGAGAGGAAGAAUAGAGCAGCAAAAGAUGAAUUAAGAUUGUGUAUAAAUGAGGUAGAGCCCCACACCAGGCUGCUGUUGUCUUACAGGAAAUUCAAACAACCAGUUCCCCUUUUGAAGAUGUGGCUGGUGUCAUCCUUAGAUUGGGAAGGAAGAGAAUUCAUCUAUGUGUGUCUUAGUGUAGCUUCUGCUGAAAUUGUCUGGUGUCUGAAAGUCACUGCUUGGAGCUCACUUGAUAUGUAUGUCAGCCUUUCACUGAAGUUGGCAUGGGCUUCAUUAUUAAUAAAAUUACAUGCAUGCAUGCAUUACAGCUGAUUAGCAGACAGUGUAUUUUCAAGGAAACACUAGGUGUCUCUCUGUGGGGUGGUUUGAAAUGUUCCUUCAGGUUCUGCACAUCUAUACCAAUUGUGCACAGUUCAAGUUCUGUUUAUCCUUACCAAUGGUAUAUAGGGAUUUUUGGACUGUCAUUAGGGAGGUGAUGCUGGCCAUUAGGAGUGGACCAUAUACUUAUUAUUUUAGCUAUUAACUACAUUUUGUUUUUAAAUUAAAACGAACACAUUGACUACAUAUCUGGGUUGGCCUUUUUUCCAGUUAAUGGAUGAUCAUAUGUACAGUGAAUCUUCAGGAAACAGUGGCGCUAUUCUGUUUGUGUGGACGCACAUGGUGCUGAGGGUGAAAUGUUUCAACAGGUCAAAUACAGUCAUCAUGACAAUUUGUUUUCCCUUUCACCAUGGCAAGUACUUUAGCCCUAAGCCUGUUAUUUAGGGGUUAAAUGUAUUCCAUGGUGUAUUAGGCUGGAAUGUGCAAUAAAAAUAAAUUAUUUCAUUUUUACCACCUCUAAGCAAACUGCAGUUGCUCGGCUGCAUCAGUAAGGAAAAAACACUUGAAAACUUCAAAGUGCUGUGAAAGAUUCCUUCUCCCUUUCUAUCCAUGAAACCUAACAACUGUGUCUGCUUUAUUCAUUUGAAUAAGAAGCUAAUCAUGCCAUAGAUGCUUCUAAGAAAUGGAGCAUUAGAGAAACUCCAUGUUGCAUCUGAGCUGAAGGUAUUGUGAACCUUUAGAGAGAGAAGAAUCAUUUGAAUUAUAAUGUAGAUCCUAAAACAUGAGAAAAGUUUUUAAAAAUAAUGAAAUACUUAAUACUUCCACUAAAUUACACUGUAGCCAAAAUAGAGUCAUAGACUCAUAGAACAGUUUGGGUUAGAAGGCACCUUUCCCAGCCAUCUACUCUAACACCCCCUGCAGUGAGCAGGGACACCUUCAACUAGAUCAGGUUGCUCAGAGACCCACACAGCCUGACCUUGAAUGUCUCCAGAAAUGGGGCAUCCAUCACCUCUCUGGGUAAACUGAGCCAGUUUUUCACCAAAUAAAAAAAGACCACUUCUUUCCUUGAAAAUACAGUCUGUUAUACACAGGAUAAAGCUAAAUAUGUCUAAGAAUGCUUGUAUUUUACUUUAGUUUUUUUUUAAGCAUUAGAAAGCUGCUUAUGUAUUUGUUUUCUUGAAGACACUGCCUGCCUUAUAGGUACAGAAAAACACUUGAGACCCCUCAUGACGAUAAAAAUUUGAAGAGCACCUGAAUGAAAGAGCCAACUAAAAUAAGUUUUAUGGUAAUUUCUGACAAAUGGCCAAGCGCUUUGAAGUUCACUCUUCAGAAACAGAGAGACCAAAGUUCUGUUGAUUCUGGUUCAACCCAAAAGAAGAAUGAUAUGGCAAUAAAUACAGAGGGAUGCAAAAUUUCACUGGGAGCUGAGGUCUUAUGUAUCUGCUGUCUGUCUGUAAACAAGGACACAAUGUCAGUUCCAGGUAUCAUCAUUUUGUCAGUCAGGUCAAAGGCUUUGGCUCCUGUUUUCUGGUUCAAGAGUUCCCUUCACUUAUGUGCGUGAAUCUGUGUGUUUAUCUGCAGAUGAGGUCUGUGCCAAUGUUUUGAUAGAAGUUUCUCCUAUCUGGGCUGGACCCAUGAUCAAUACAUGUCUCUUUCACUCUUUAGUUCCUUUGAUUUGGUGUUUUAGAGCAAAGGUGCUGCAGACACCACAACGGUACAGUAUUCAUAUAAAUGUUGCCAAUAAGAGUUUAUUCUGAAAUCUGGAAGACUGUGUGGGAAUGGUGUACUGUAUUCACCACAUUACCCUCCAUUUGACCAGGAAAGGACCAUCUUGUACACUUACUUGUAAACCAUCUCAGAUAGCAUCAGUAGCAGCCUUACUCUGAAGUCCUUUAUAGCAAUCCAUGUUUAGAAGAUGUAAUUGCUCUUGAACAAAGACCUGGCAAUUGUGAAACAUCUUCUGCUCAAGAAAGUGCUACCAGGCCCUUUAUGUUAUGCUUGUCUUCCCUCUUCUUGCAAUAAGGAAGGAAGGGGGGGAAAAAGGAAAUGCCCGUGGAGUCUUUUUCAUAAUGAUACAACUACUGAGCAUCUAGAGGAAUUGCCACACAGCAGGCUUCAAUCAAAUAAGAGGUUGUUUUUCAGACAAUGCAGACUCAACUACCAGAGACUUAAAAUGAUAAACAUAGAGGACAAAUGGUCACUAAACAAUCUCCAGUUCAGAAAGCUGCCCUCCACUGAGGCUUGGAGUCUCUAAAAUAAAGUUUCCAUCAACCAUCAUGUUAAACCAUUCACACUGCAGGAAGCCAAGGGAUGUUGCUUCUUCUUGAGCACCAUCACUGAACUCUGAAGCAGUUGUUAAAAAUGGUUCAGCCUGCCUACCCCCAAACAACUCAGAACACUCCUCAAAGGCUUUCUGCCCCUUGCUGCGUGCCAGCCUGCAAAUAAGCAAGAAGCCAUUCACCUCCCUUUCAGCAGCUGGAGUACAAGGUACAGAAAUAUCCUCCCUUUUGGAGCUGGCUCAAGAGGAGGCCCUUCACAUGUGGGAAUUAAUACAUUGAAAGGACUGUUAUCUUUGCAGGACUUCUUUUUUAAUUGAAUAAUUUAAUUUACAGUGUUCCCAGCUGCCUGGAAUGCAGUUCUCCUUUGAGUUUGCCUGUAGGAACACUGAGGAUUUAUGUAGCAUUCUCAGCAAUAAGAAGGGAAUGGCAUUGCUUUGAUCUUUUUCUUGGUUUUGUGUUUUUUUUUUUUUAUUUUACAGUAGGUGACAAUAUGCGAGACUGUAUAUCCCACAUUCAGAGAGGCAGUCACUUUUCUUGAGUUUAUUUGCACAUUGUAUCUUCUUCUGUUUCAGUAGAUGACAAAAAUUGUUUU
Long non-coding RNA from Pezoporus occidentalis (night parrot), 3367 nucleotides. RefSeq lists it as uncharacterized. The record is from RefSeq and is a predicted model, not a curated record. Lineage: Eukaryota; Metazoa; Chordata; Aves; Psittaciformes; Psittacidae. The transcript is spliced from 2 exons.